GGAGACAUCUGUAUACUUACAAAAUAAAUAAAUAAUUAAGAGCAAGAGAAGUCUUUCCCCACUUCGCCAAAUUAGAUCUAUACUUCUGCAAAACAGCUCUCUCUCUCUCUCUGUGUUUUUGCCUGUGUUGAAUCGAAUGUUCUUCUCAGAUCUACCAACCAACCCAUCUGAAUCCAUUUCUAUGGCACUCCAUGAGCAUGCCGAACUACAUAUCAGUCACCAACCAAUGGAAUCUUUUCUGGUUUUCUGUUUUUGAUUGGGUUCUGCAAGUAGAGAAAGCCACAUCAGGCAGCCAUCUUCUGAUCUAGAUUCAUUGUCUCACCCAAAUUCCCUCUCCCUUCCAAACCAAACCUAGCCGCCACCCAUGGAAGGCAUACACCGCCAAGUCCAGAUCUUCCCAUAUGGUGGAAACCAAGCCAAGCUGGAGCGAGUCCAUCUUGAAAGUUCUUAAAGGUGAUGGAAGGUCUUUUGGACAUGCUAAAGGAUGGAAAAUAUCUUGAUACCUAUAUUGUGAUUCAAACUAUGAGAUGCUAUUUGAACUGUGAUGAUAUUGAUCAUGGUGUGCAAACCCCUGAUGACUAUCUGAAGUUAGGGAAGCUUCCUGCACCAGAACUCAUAACAUAAAUGUGAUAUGGAGUUGUGGAGUUGCUAAGAUGAUGUAUCUCAUAACAUAUAUGUGAUAUGUAGUGAUGUGAAAAUGCUCGUUGGGCUUUGCUGCUAAAUUUGGCUUAGCAAGUGUAGUUGUUCUAGGAUAUCAAGAAGGCGCUAUUAAGAGAAUUGCAGAUAAGGUUGCAGCAUAAAUGAGGCAAAGUUUGUAGACAAAAUAUUCUUAGGUUCUGUAUGCAUUUUUAUGUGGUUGCUUGAAGUUGGCAAUUGAUUUUCAUGUUUUACAGUUUGAUCCUUGGUACCAUAAUUAUUAGUGAAAUGCACUUGUUUCUUUCAUAUGUAGAGAAAUUUGAAGUUGUAAUUGAAUGGUUUCUGGAAUUUUAUAAUUAAAUAUUUUGGAAUAAUUAAUUUUAUGCAUCUUUUUAUUUAA
Long non-coding RNA from Rosa rugosa (rugosa rose), 1036 nucleotides. RefSeq lists it as uncharacterized. Lineage: Eukaryota; Viridiplantae; Streptophyta; Magnoliopsida; Rosales; Rosaceae. The record is from RefSeq and is a predicted model, not a curated record. The transcript has 6 exons.